ACUAAUUAAAACAACGAUGGGCGGGACUCCUGCCCUCCCGACUGCGGGGAAAAACGGACAGACUAUACGGCGGGUGGCCGUUCCCCACCGGCCGCGAAAAUAAGUUUUCCUUAGCAGUCUUCGAGGGUAGCGCUGCUACCCUUUUUUUCGGAGUUUA
Small RNA from Pluralibacter gergoviae, 157 nucleotides. It matches the Rfam family "sroC RNA". From Rfam's summary of the family: This family consists of a number of bacterial sroC RNA genes of around 160 bases in length. sroC is found in several Enterobacterial species. It base-pairs with GcvB. NCBI's taxonomy places the organism in Bacteria, Pseudomonadati, Pseudomonadota, Gammaproteobacteria, Enterobacterales, Enterobacteriaceae. The record is from Rfam.